GACGAACGCUGGCGGCGUGCUUAACACAUGCAAGUCGAACGGAAAGGCCCUGCUUUUGUGGGGUGCUCAAGUGGCGACCGGGUGAGUAACACGUGAUUACCCUCCCCUUGAUUUUGGGUUACCUUAAGGAAACGGGGCCUAUUACGGAAUGGGAGCUCCUCUGCCAUGGUGGGGGUGGGAAAUUUUCGGGGGUUGGGGAUGGCCUCGGGGGUUUCCACUUUGUUGGGGGGGUGUGGGGUUCCCAAGGCUUUGACGGGAGGCCGGCCUGAGGGGGGGGACGGGCAAAUUGGGAAUGGGGAAAGGGCCAGACUCCUACGGGAGGCAGCAGUGGGGAAUAUUGCACAAUGGGCGGAAGCCUGAUGCAGCAACGCCGCGUGCGGGAUGACGGCCUUCGGGUUGUAAACCGCUUUCGCCUGUGACGAAGCGUGAGUGACGGUAAUGGGUAAAGAAGCACCGGCUAACUACGUG
Molecule: ribosomal RNA, 468 nt
Filed under: uncultured bacterium
Lineage: Bacteria
Description: partial 16S ribosomal RNA
Rfam family: Bacterial small subunit ribosomal RNA
Source: RNAcentral